UCCACGAAACCUAUAUUGUAUGGCUC
RNAcentral lists this small RNA (26 nucleotides) under Bombyx mori (domestic silkworm). RNAcentral's name for it is "ovarian small RNA-26660". Lineage: Eukaryota; Metazoa; Arthropoda; Insecta; Lepidoptera; Bombycidae. The record is from RNAcentral.